This 496-nucleotide ribosomal RNA is filed under the name uncultured bacterium. RNAcentral's name for it is "partial 16S ribosomal RNA". It matches the Rfam family "Bacterial small subunit ribosomal RNA", at positions 29 to 507 of the family's 1533-position model. The record is from RNAcentral.
AUGAACGCUGGCGGCGUGCCUAAUACAUGCAAGUCGAGCGAACAGACGAGGAGCUUGCUCCUCUGACGUUCGCGGCGGACGGGUGAGUAACACGUGGAUAACCUACCUAUAAGACUGGGAUAACUUCGGGAAACCGGAGCUAAUACCGGAUAAUAUAUUGAACCGCAUGGUUCAAUAGUGAAAGACGGUUUUGCUGUCACUUAUAGAUGGAUCCGCGCCGCAUUAGCUAGUUGGUAAGGUAACGGCUUACCAAGGCGACGAUGCGUAGCCGACCUGAGAGGGUGAUCGGCCACACUGGAACUGAGACACGGUCCAGACUCCUACGGGAGGCAGCAGUAGGGAAUCUUCCGCAAUGGGCGAAAGCCUGACGGAGCAACGCCGCGUGAGUGAUGAAGGUCUUCGGAUCGUAAAACUCUGUUAUUAGGGAAGAACAAAUGUGUAAGUAACUAUGCACGUCUUGACGGUACCUAAUCAGAAAGCCACGGCUAACUACGUG